CAUCGGUGACAGGUGGUGCAUGGUUGUCGUCAGCUCGUGUCGUGAGACGUUGGGUUAAGUCCCGCAACGAGCGCAACCCCCUAUUGUUAGUUGCCAUCAUUCAGUUGGGCACUCUAGCGAGACUGCCGGUAAUAAACCGGAGGAAGGUGGGGAUGACGUCAAAUCAUCAUGCCCCUUAUGACCUGGGCUACACACGUGCUACAAUGGUUGGUACAACGAGUUGCGAGUCGGUGACGGCGAGCUAAUCUCUUAAAGCCAAUCUCAGUUCGGAUUGUAGGCUGCAACUCGCCUACAUGAAGUCGGAAUCGCUAGUAAUCGCGGAUCAGCACGCCGCGGUGAAUACGUUCCCGGGCCUU
RNAcentral lists this ribosomal RNA (356 nucleotides) under uncultured Streptococcus sp. RNAcentral describes it as "bacterial SSU rRNA". It matches the Rfam family "Bacterial small subunit ribosomal RNA", at positions 1026 to 1382 of the family's 1533-position model. The record is from RNAcentral. Lineage: Bacteria; Bacillati; Bacillota; Bacilli; Lactobacillales; Streptococcaceae.